Molecule: unclassified non-coding RNA, 159 nt
Filed under: uncultured Diaporthe
Lineage: Eukaryota; Fungi; Ascomycota; Sordariomycetes; Diaporthales; Diaporthaceae
Description: sequence contains ITS2
Source: RNAcentral
CAACCCUCAAGCCUGGCUUGGUGAUGGGGCACUGCCUUCGGUAAGAAGGCAGGCCCUGAAAUUCAGUGGCGAGCUCGCCAGGACCCCGAGCGCAGUAGUUAAACCCUCGCUUUGGAAGGUCUUGGUGCGGCCCUGCCGUUAAACCCCCAACUUCUGAAA